GUGGGGAAUCUUAGACAAUGGGGGAAACCCUGAUCUAGCCAUGCCGCGUGAGCGAUGAAGGCCUUAGGGUUGUAAAGCUCUUUCAGCUGGGAAGAUAAUGACUGUACCAGCAGAAGAAGCCCCGGCUAACUCCGUGCCAGCAGCCGCGGUAAUACGGAGGGGGCUAGCGUUGUUCGGAAUUACUGGGCGUAAAGCGCACGUAGGCGGAUCAGAAAGUCAGAGGUGAAAUCCCAGGGCUCAACCUUGGAACUGCCUUUGAAACUCCUGGUCUUGAGGUCGAGAGAGGUGAGUGGAAUUCCGAGUGUAGAGGUGAAAUUCGUAGAUAUUCGGAGGAACACCAGUGGCGAAGGCGGCUCACUGGCUCGAUACUGACGCUGAGGUGCGAAAGCGUGGGGAGCAAACAGGAUUAGAAACCCCGGUAGUCC
This 425-nucleotide ribosomal RNA is filed under the name uncultured bacterium. RNAcentral describes it as "partial 16S ribosomal RNA". It matches the Rfam family "Bacterial small subunit ribosomal RNA", at positions 354 to 796 of the family's 1533-position model. The record is from RNAcentral.